UCUUCCCUUUCAGUCUCAAUUUGAAAAAUUGCUUUCUAGGUUAACUAAAUUACUAUGUUGUGCCCUUGAUCAGCAUUCUGCACAAACACUGUAUGUUCUUGUUCUUGUUAAUCUAGUUUACAGGCAAAAUAUAAUCUAAUUACAUAAAUAGCUGAAGGAAGUAUUUUCAGUAUUUCCUGCUGAUUGGGUAAUUCACGAAUUACUAAGAAUUUCUUUGGUUGAACAUUUCAAGGCUUAAAAGUUACAAUAAUUUCAGUUAUUGUUUUUUCCUUAAGGAUUAUUUGCUUAGCAGAAAAACUGGAAAACAGGGCUUACUAUGAGAUGUCAGAACCAGUCCUGCAAUCCCGAGACACCUUCGCAGCCGCAUUUUACUUCUGUUUUUGCAACAGGAAUGGAAGGUGAAAAGUAGGAGAAAACAAAAAUAAAAGACCAUUCAUUCUAAAGGAAGCAAAAUAGGGCCACCUCCAGAAGCUGAAGAUGAAAGAGUAAUGGAAAAGCAGACCACUAUCCUCCUCUCAUUCUCUCUCUCCUAAGCCACAUGUUAUGCCAACAGAGGACAGAAAAGCUUUGAAUCCAGUAUAAAAUUGCAACACUAAAUUCGACUGAUAAGAAAGUUAUGGAAUCCACUCGAGACAAUUUUAAGUGUCUGUGACAGAGCAUACAUAUGGCCCAUUGAAGAACAAUGAGUAGAAUAAAUGCAAAACGUGUCAUGUUUAUACCCUAUUGAGACAGACAUCUCAAUAAACUGAUUAUAAAAUUAUAACAAGCUAA
This is a non-coding RNA of Macaca mulatta (Rhesus monkey), 771 nucleotides long. Lineage: Eukaryota; Metazoa; Chordata; Mammalia; Primates; Cercopithecidae. The record is from RefSeq and is a predicted model, not a curated record.